UACGUAGGGUGCAAGCGUUGUCCGGAAUUAUUGGGCGUAAAGAGCUCGUAGGCGGCUUGUUGCGUCGGCUGUGAAAUCCCGAGGCUCAACCUCGGGUCUGCAGUCGAUACGAGCAAACUAGAGUGUUGCAGGGGAGACUGGAAUUCCUGGUGUAGCGGUGAAAUGCGCAGAUAUCAGGAGGAACACCGGUGGCGAAGGCGGGUCUCUGGGCCGUAACUGACGCUGAGGAGCGAAAGCGUGGGGAGCGAACAGG
RNAcentral lists this ribosomal RNA (253 nucleotides) under uncultured bacterium. RNAcentral's name for it is "partial 16S ribosomal RNA". It matches the Rfam family "Bacterial small subunit ribosomal RNA", at positions 524 to 776 of the family's 1533-position model. The record is from RNAcentral.